CAAAGCACUCCACUUGUUUGGUAAGUAUUGAAGGUCGAUAAUUAAUUAUUAGGAAAUAGUUGUGAGCCACCUAAUCAUGAUACAUUUUUUUAUGUUCAGAACAGACUCUUCGAUAGACCGUAAUGUUUGUGAUAACAUGGCAUUUACCGACCAAAAGUGGCCAAAUCAUUCUGAUGGUACAGUGAUGAGUCGUGAAUGCCUGGUAGGCUUCUUGUGUGAUGAUAUAAAGCAGUCCAUGUACAUUGCAGAAGGGAGAGAUUCCAAGCCUGUUUUUGACACUUGGAUAGUCUUUAAUUUGAUAGCAUCACUUGCUAGUCCAUAGAUAUUGUUUGUUUUGUAGAUUAACUAGGGUGCUCUUCUAAAGAAGCCUUAAACUAUAGCAAUCUUCUCUCUAAGUCAACAAUUGCUGCUUUCAGUUCACUCGGUGCUCUUUUUGUUAUCAGAUAAAGCGAGUCCAACAUCUUUGUAUAAUAUCAGACCUCCGUUGAUGGCAUUGUAUCUAAUCCAACACACUGCUCGAGUGGGUAUGCUUUUGCAUGGGAAAGCAGUUAUCCUCUUGAUUCUUUAUAGAUGAGGAACAAAAAAAUAAGCAACAAAGGUUUCCAAGGAGGUGGUGGACCUUUACAUGAGCUAAAGCAGGGAGGGAUGCUCACGUUUCCUCAAACAACAGGACUGCCGAGAGACCCGACUGUUUUUUUUAAGGCACCGUCCUUGCUUUGCUGAUGCCAAACAGUAUCGACAUGUAGUAUUGAUCUCAGCAAGGAAAAGAUCCUCCCAGCUGCAGGAAGGUCAGAAUUAAACUUUGUGCAUGUUGCAGUCAAGGCAUCAGUUCAUUGGUUCCUACUCACUUUUGAGAGAAGCAAAGGAGAAGAAAUGUCUUCUCCUUCCCACUGCCUGCAGCCUGAUCCAUGCUGCAGCAGUCAGUCGCUUCCUUACCUGAGAGGAAGGUUAAAUGUCUACACCAUCAACAUAUUUAGCUGUAAUUAUG
Molecule: long non-coding RNA, 988 nt
Organism: Musa acuminata AAA Group (dessert banana)
Lineage: Eukaryota; Viridiplantae; Streptophyta; Magnoliopsida; Zingiberales; Musaceae
Exons: 3
Source: RefSeq, a predicted model, not a curated record